UUUGCUUGUAGGUUUUAAAAAGCCUUUAUAGAUACAGGGUAUUCUUAAAUAUGUAGACCAUCUUUACGAUACGAAGAAGUUAGUUUUCACGUUGUCAAAAUAUUGAUUUUUCCAAAAAUAAGCUUGACCUAAAUCCCUUAGUCUCCAGCAUUUGUAAGAAAGUAGUUUAAAUUUCAUACUAAGGUACUUUACACGAUUUUAAAUCUUGGUAAUUGUGUUAAUAUGAGGGCAACUGGUGAACUCUUUUAAUGCUGGCUGACUGGCUUUUCCUCUAGUCUUCCUACGCUGCCAGACAUACCAUGCAAUGCCUGCCUCGGCCCCAGCUUGCUGGCACGGAGGGGUUCGAGACACUUGCAAUAUCACUUCCCGUCGGCCACCUCGCGCUCGGUGCGAGUGUAUAUACGUUUUAAAAAUACAAUACUGGAAAAGGCAGGAACUGUACCAACAAAUGGGGUAUUUUUAGGGGGGAGGGGGUUCAGUUCAACUUAAAUAUAGUAUUUUGCCAGUAAUUUUGUGCUAAAUUAAUGCUGUACUGUAUAAUAGGUAAAUGAUUAAAUUUGAACAGUAACUAUUGUGUACCGAUCAUAGUUAAUGUUAGUGAUCAAAUAUUACAGGUUAUACCUACUAAUUGUGCUGUGAGGGUUGUUCUCUGAAUUGUUGUUAUACAAGUUGAUUUGUUCUGAUAUAAGUGGAUAUUUGGACUUGAUAUAAGUAUAAUUUGUCUAUAAAGGUUGACGGUUUAAUGACUUAUUUCAGAUUUGAGUGGGAGGUGGAUGACCUUUGUAGGGUAUUUGACCUUGGCUGAAGCCUUUAUAUACAAUAUACAGAAGUGUGUGGGAGGUGGAAGAGCAUUCUUGGCUAUUUGACAUUGGCUGAAGUCUUAUAAAGAUUUGAAAGUAACACCACACAUGGUGGAGCUAUUUAACUCUGCAAUCACGUACGAGAAGGAAGAACCAGGGGACGGUGACGAACUGGACUCCACCAUUAUCAUGCUCCACCACCAUUUGAGUUUACGAUUUGGCCGUGAAGCUUGUCGUACAUGUGGCAACCCUGUUCCUAUACGGUAUGUGUUAAUUGUGGUUAAUUUCAUGUUCACGAAGAUUUAAUGUUAAAUAUUUUAAGUGUUUAUUCGGACGUACUUCACAAGAUUUGGUAUAUAUUUUGGCUAUAGAGACGUACUGUAGAUGUGUGUUCUUAUUUUAUUGCAUUACAGUUGUACAAAGACUACAUUACUUAAUUUUUAGUUACAAUAUUAUUCAUUCGAGGACCGUGAAGACGAGUACACAAGACUGUUAGUUUCCGUUAACGGAACUGUUGUUGCACAAAAUCGGAAACAUUCUGCUAUAACUUAAAGUAGGCCUACAGUACUGUAGCUGUCGUUGUGGUUUUAGUUUUGUUUAAGGAUUUGUUCACCUUUAAAAAAAAAAAUAGAGUAAUUGUUAACUUACUUUGAAAUAAUUACAUAUUUAAAGUAUGCUUUGCUUGUAGGUUUUAAAAAGCCUUUAUAGAUACAGGGUAUUCUUAAAUAUGUAGACCAUCUUUACGAUACGAAGAAGUUAGUUUUCACGUUGUCAAAAUAUUGAUUUUUCCAAAAAUAAGCUUGACCUAAAUCCCUUAGUCUCCAGCAUUUGUAAGAAAGUAGUUUAAAUUUCAUACUAAGGUACUUUACACGAUUUUAAAUCUUGGUAAUUGUGUUAAUAUGAGGGCAACUGGUGAACUCUUUUAAUGCUGGCUGACUGGCUUUUCCUCUAGUCUUCCUACGCUGCCAGACAUACCAUGCAAUGCCUGCCUCGGCCCCAGCUU
Long non-coding RNA from Homarus americanus (American lobster), 1803 nucleotides. RefSeq lists it as uncharacterized. The record is from RefSeq and is a predicted model, not a curated record. The transcript is spliced from 4 exons. NCBI's taxonomy places the organism in Eukaryota, Metazoa, Arthropoda, Malacostraca, Decapoda, Nephropidae.